UUAACGAAAUUGCAACUUUUCAUAAUACUGUGUGACCGUGGUGUGGCUUCCAGUUUGAGGAAUGAAAACAUCUAUAUCUGGCAGAUGUGCUGCAAUAUUUAGUCACUAGAUGGCAGUGUCAGACCAUGCUUUGUGUUAUCUAUGCAUUAACAGACUGUGUUUACAGGGUGGCCAACUUUAGAGGAGAAUUAAACCUUUUACAGCAUUGCUCAAACUUUGGUUUUAGUCUCAAUCGCUAAGUUCUUCCUUCAUGACAACUCUGAGGGGGGUGUAUUUUAUUUUAACUCCCUCGUUUAAGCGAUAUAGAUGUUUGAAAUUCACGUGACGUCACAGUGUAAGCUGUGCUGUGUGUUGUGAGUUCGGCUUUAACCAGUUACAAGUGAACGCCUCAUGAAAUGGCUUACACCCACAUACCCGGUAAAUUACACACUUUGAUGUUCUGCUCCUUCUCCUGACGGUCACGGUAACGAUGUCUGCGCCUCCGUUUCUGUGGAUGUCCAGCGUGAGACACAACUUGAAUCCAACCAGACUGAACACUGACUCCAGGUACAGACCUGUUUUCAUUACUUACAAAGUAUUGCACAUAAUACAUAAUGUGUUAAAUUAUAAUGCAAUACUUUUAAUGUGAAAUAGCUCCAUACUAAACAUUCAUUGUCAUGGUAGUGCACGUUUUAAUCCAAAAGCAUAUUCAAAUACAUAGUUGAAUAUCCACCGAAAAUAAGAAUACACACUUUGUUCAUAUGUAACUCUAAUAAAUACUGUAUAAGUUAUAUUUUGCUCCGGAAU
Long non-coding RNA from Pleuronectes platessa (European plaice), 786 nucleotides. RefSeq lists it as uncharacterized. The record is from RefSeq and is a predicted model, not a curated record. The transcript is spliced from 2 exons. Lineage: Eukaryota; Metazoa; Chordata; Actinopteri; Pleuronectiformes; Pleuronectidae.